CAGCAGCCGCGGGAAUACCGAGGGUGCAAGCGUUAAUCGGAAUUACUGGGCGUAAAGCGCGCGUAGGUGGUUUGUUAAGUUGGAUGUGAAAGCCCCGGGCUCAACCUGGGAACUGCAUCCAAAACUGGCAAGCUAGAGUACGGUAGAGGGUGGUGGAAUUUCCUGUGUAGCGGUGAAAUGCGUAGAUAUAGGAAGGAACACCAGUGGCGAAGGCGACCACCUGGACUGAUACUGACACUGAGGUGCGAAAGCGUGGGGAGCAAACAGGAUUAGAUACCCCGGUAGUCCCUGUCUCUUAUAC
RNAcentral lists this ribosomal RNA (301 nucleotides) under uncultured bacterium. RNAcentral's name for it is "partial 16S ribosomal RNA". It matches the Rfam family "Bacterial small subunit ribosomal RNA", at positions 509 to 807 of the family's 1533-position model. The record is from RNAcentral.